RNAcentral lists this ribosomal RNA (406 nucleotides) under uncultured bacterium. Its description in RNAcentral is "partial 16S ribosomal RNA". It matches the Rfam family "Bacterial small subunit ribosomal RNA", at positions 30 to 526 of the family's 1533-position model. The record is from RNAcentral.
AUUGAACGCUGGCGGCAGGCCUAACACAUGCAAGUCGAGCGAGCGGCGGACGGGUGAGUAAUGUCUGGGAAACUGCCUGAUGGAGGGGCAUAACUCCUGGAAACGGUAGCUAAUACCGCAUACCAUCAGAUGUGCCCAGAUGGGAUUAUCUAGUAGGUGGGGUAACGGAUCACCUAGGCGACGAUCCCUAGCUGGUCUGAGAGGAUGACCAGCCACACUGGAACGUAGACACGGGCCAGACGCCUACGGGAGGCAGCAGUGGGGAAGAUUGCACAAUGGGCGCAAGCCUGAUGCAGCCAUGCCGCGUGUGUGAAGAAGGCCUUCGGGUUGUAAAGCACUUUCAGCGGGGAGGCGUUACCCGCAGAAGAAGCACCGGCUAACUCCGUGCCAGCAGCCGCGGUAAUAC